UAGCAAAGCUUUCCAGUGCUUGCAUUUGUGUUAGUUGUGUCAGUAUUUGUUCCUUGUUCAUUGAAAUCAUCUGUAAUUUGUAGAUCGCAAAGAAUGUGAAAAAAUAUUAUCAGAUGCUGCAGACUUUUUGACUACGGCCGUGCAGGAUGGAUACAGAGGCACACACUAAAGCAAAUUCUUAAGACCACCUCUUUCAGGAUGAAGGAUUCAGAAUUUGAGAACACUAAUCUGCCAGAAAAUAAAAGAGAAGGAACAGAAGCAGAAAAAACUUUUUCUCCAGUCUUCACCAGCAAACGUUUUCCUACAGCCAUCACCAGCUGAGCGUGCUGUGACAGAGCACGGUCUGGAUAGCACCGAGAGGCAUUUAGAGAAAAGCUGUGUUCAGCCUAUGAGGACAUUGAAAAAGCCUUCAGAGCAAUUGAUGUCAGUCAGAGUGGAUUUGUGUCUUUGGAUUACUUGAAGUCAGUUAUAAAUGGCUUUAUAUUUCCUUUGCCAAAUGAAACUUUUCAAGAGCUAAUGAAUAGAUUUGGACUGAAAGCCACAGGUAAAAUUGCUUGGCAACAAUUUUUAGAAAAUUUCCAGGAUCCUGGAAGCACCUUUGAAAACAGGCAGAUGAUUCCUAUGAGAAAAACACAUAAAGUAAAUCCAGCCAGAGGAGAUGAAGCUUUCUCCAGUGACACUGUUCUUCAGAAGCUGCACAGAUACAUCCAAGAUGCUUAUCCCCCUUUAAAGCAGGCAUUCCUUAUGCUUGAUGAACAAUGGAAUAUUCACAACCAGCUCUUCUAG
This 786-nucleotide long non-coding RNA is filed under the name Calidris pugnax (ruff). RNAcentral describes it as "lncRNA (ENSCPUG00000007381.1)". The record is from RNAcentral. Lineage: Eukaryota; Metazoa; Chordata; Aves; Charadriiformes; Scolopacidae.